AUUGAACGCUGGCGGUAUGCUUAACACAUGCAAGUCGAACGAUGAGAAAGAGCUUGCUCUUUCGAUUAGUGGCGGACGGGUGCGUAACGCGUAGGAAUCUACCUAUUAGUGGGGGACAACUUAGGGAAACUUAAGCUAAUACCGCAUACGCCCUACGGGGGAAAGAAGGGGAUCGCAAGACCUUUUGCUAAUAGAUGAGCCUGCGUCGGAGUAGCGAGUUGGUGGGGUAAAAGCUACCCAAGGCGACGAUCCUUAACUGGUUUGAGAGAAUGAUCAGUCACACUGGAACUGAGACACGGGCCAGACUCCUACGGGAGGCAGCAGUGGGGAAUAUUGGACAAUGGGCGAAAGCCUGAUCCAGCAAUACCGCGUGUGUGAAGAAGGCCUUAGGGUUGUAAAGCACUUUCAAUUGGAAGGAAAACCUCGAAGCUAAUACCUUCGAGUUUGACAUUACCUUUAGAAGAAGCACCGGCUAACUCCGUGCCAGCCGCCGCCGUAA
RNAcentral lists this ribosomal RNA (499 nucleotides) under uncultured bacterium. Its description in RNAcentral is "partial 16S ribosomal RNA". It matches the Rfam family "Bacterial small subunit ribosomal RNA", at positions 30 to 523 of the family's 1533-position model. The record is from RNAcentral.